RNAcentral lists this ribosomal RNA (265 nucleotides) under uncultured bacterium. RNAcentral describes it as "partial 16S ribosomal RNA". It matches the Rfam family "Bacterial small subunit ribosomal RNA", at positions 333 to 595 of the family's 1533-position model. The record is from RNAcentral.
GUAUGCCUACGGGAGGCAGCAGUGAGGAAUAUUGGUCAAUGGUCGGGAGACUGAACCAGCCACGCCGCGUGAGGGAUGAAGGUACAGAGUAUCGUAAACCUCUUUUGUCAGGGAACAAAGGCGGGGACGCGUCCCCGGAUGAGUGUACCUGAAGAAAAAGCAUCGGCUAACUCCGUGCCAGCAGCCGCGGUAAUACGGAGGAUGCGAGCGUUAUCCGGAUUUAUUGGGUUUAAAGGGUGCGCAGGCGGCACGGCAAGCCGGCCGU